AAGCGCCCUGCGCCGAGCCCUUGGCGAAGUAGACGCGCAAUAGCCUCCAGUUUAUAAAUUACGGCGCCUUCCUGUAAAAUAUCGCGUCAGAAUCUGUCCAACCUUCUAAACGUGAGAUAUUUUGCAUCCAUGGGAAUACACGCCAACGGAGGCCUGCUGCGUGUCCCUGAGACCCGCCGUGCAGUUUCGGCGACCAAAAGGAAGAGUCUCGCAAAGAAGGGCCCUCGUCGGACGGGAAGAACGAGGCCGCCCAUGGGAAAGUGCGCAGUUGGAUAUAAUGGACUCUUCCCAGAAGCGGAGACGGUUUUGCGAUGAAUUUUCGGGAACAUGGGAUUGAAUUGCAGGCGUUCUUUAGAUAAAAAUGAGCAUGUCGGGUACAGGGAUCGCUGGAGUAAUUGUGUAAUAAUUGUACAUUUCGUGAAACCAUGAUAGACGUGCAUAUACACAUGUAAGCGUUGAUCUAAUUGGAAUGGUAAUGGGCUCAACUUAAUUGUGCACUCACCUGCGUACACUACUAAUUAGAACAUGUGAUGUUUGCAAAACGCCAUAGGUCAAGGAUCAUCGCAUGCGAUUAAGACGUUGAAUUAUCUGAAGAAUUGUAAAAGUUAAUGGCUUAUUUUCCUCGAUUAAUGGGAGCGAAUAAAUUAUUCCAUUGUUUUGAGAAUGUGCUCGUCUCUGGUGACGAAUUUCAAUUAUUGCCGCUCAGGCGAAAUGUUCAAAUAGGGUCCUAUUGUAAGGUACUCUUGCGUGAUAAUAUCGAAUCUUGAGAAAAUGUUCGUUCCGGGAACCCUGUUGCGUGCCCUAGGGGGGAAAUGCUACGCAGUACUCCCAACGGGCAAUAAGAUUAAAAAGGGAGGAAGGACGGGUACAAAAGGGGGAAGGACAAGGUUAUCGAUACGAAAGUGCGCAGUUUAGCCAGCGGUGCGUUUCGGCAGAUGUGAAAACGGAAAUACGACGCAACUCUCGCCGGCACGGCUGCGGAACAAUGGUCCGCCAUUUUGACAAAGAGAGGGCUUAUGAAAGUGCAGGGACCCUAUGGUUCGGCAUAACGAGGGAAUCCAUGCUUUUUCCAUUCACUUAUUCGGGGAAAACUGAACAGUUCACUGAGCAAUCGUCUUCCAAAACGGAAAGUGGAAAGGGGAGGUCGAUGCACCGACAUGGCCGCUUGGAUGCACAUAUAUACUGCAACGACGGAGCAAGACGGUCACGGAACGUACUCGAAGCUUCCACUGUUUCUAACCGGGGACGGAAAACGUUUUGGAAAGCGUUUCCCUUUAUUUCCCGUUGCUGCACGCAACCAGGAACGGAAGUAUACGCUCGUCAACUCCGCUUGGCUUGGAUCUGCGGAAUCUCAAAAUUCUUCCCCCUGCAGCAUUCCGAGUGGCGAUGCAACCAGUUCCCUGAUUUCCUGCACCUCUUGUUUCUUGGCCAUGAACGCACACUUCGGCCAUAGCUUUGACCAUGGCCUCCUUUGUGUAUCUCACCAGAGGGCAAGAAGCGUCGCCACGUCACGUUUGACUCGAGACUCAGUUAAUCAGGAAAAGGAACUAAAUCGAGAGAAGACUGCGACCGCGAGAUAUAAUUUAAAUAAGUCUAACCUAAGAGUAAAUUAUGUAACGUGCGAAUGCGUAAUUUAUUGUAUUUAAAUAAGUUACCGCGAAAAGCAUUCUCAGAUAGCGAGUUAUCGCCUUUUGCUUCGACUGUUAUAUUCGUAUUUCGUUUUCGAGAUUUCGUAUACGAAAAAUCCAGUAUAGUUAUCUUGGUUUAGAAUAGUUUAGAGAUGAAUUUAAAUAGGAGGACUUGGUGGUUUUAGAUUGGGAGGAUUUUUUUGGAGUUUAAAGUGCGCCGUGGAACGGCUCGGGUAGUUUCCGUGGAGUUCUAGAACGUUUCAGCCCGGCGAAUCGAUACCUGCACCAGAAACUCCGCAUUAAUAUAGGUCUUUGGUAUAUAUGGUACUGCGCGUCAUGUCUUACCUUAAGAAGAAAAAUGUAUCGUGUCGAAUCGUGUGCAGGUUGAAAAAUGACCGCAAAUACUACUGAU
Molecule: long non-coding RNA, 2040 nt
Organism: Orussus abietinus
Lineage: Eukaryota; Metazoa; Arthropoda; Insecta; Hymenoptera; Orussidae
Exons: 4
Source: RefSeq, a predicted model, not a curated record